This 57-nucleotide transfer RNA is filed under the name Hammerschmidtiella sp. ZengetLiu-2016. RNAcentral describes it as "tRNA-Glu". The record is from RNAcentral. Lineage: Eukaryota; Metazoa; Nematoda; Chromadorea; Rhabditida; Thelastomatidae.
GGGAUUAUAGUAUAUUUAUAUUAUGUUUUCUUUUCGUGAAGAAGAAUUGUAGUCUUA